This 74-nucleotide transfer RNA is filed under the name Clostridiales bacterium. RNAcentral's name for it is "tRNA-Thr". It matches the Rfam family "tRNA". Rfam says of the family: Transfer RNA (tRNA) molecules are approximately 80 nucleotides in length. Their secondary structure includes four short double-helical elements and three loops (D, anti-codon, and T loops). Further hydrogen bonds mediate the characteristic L-shaped molecular structure. tRNAs have two regions of fundamental functional importance: the anti-codon, which is responsible for specific mRNA codon recognition, and the 3' end, to which the tRNAs corresponding amino acid is attached (by aminoacyl-tRNA synthetases). tRNAs cope with the degeneracy of the genetic code in two manners: having more than one tRNA (with a specific anti-codon) for a particular amino acid; and 'wobble' base-pairing, i.e. permitting non-standard base-pairing at the 3rd anti-codon position. RNAcentral also lists the same sequence under 1 other name. The record is from RNAcentral. Lineage: Bacteria; Bacillati; Bacillota; Clostridia; Eubacteriales.
GCUGGUAUAGCUCAGUAGGUAGAGCGCUUCCUUGGUAAGGAAGAGGUUCCCGGGUUCGAAUCCCGGUAUCAGCU